GGGGCUGACAGGAAUUGACAGCUUGUGAAAUUGAUAAGUAAGCAUGCCGAGCGCGGUUAGCAUUCUCGUAAAACACUGCUCUCAACCGCCUAACUGGCAACACUGACUACGCGUUAGCCGCUUAAUCUAGGAUUAAUCCGCUUUCUACUCCGAGGGGUCCUGCUCACCCGACUUCUCACCAGGGGUAUCACAUGGAGAGUGCUUUGCAACAGGGUUCUGAUGUUGCAACUAAGACCACCUGAACUACGUUUUUAAGUAGCGAGUGUUAAGCAGCUUAAGAGCCGACAAUCAAAUAACACUAAGCAUGUAGAAAGUUUAUUGAUUGCUUGUCUGGACGCGGGUUCAAAUCCCGCCAGCUCCACUU
RNAcentral lists this transfer-messenger RNA (364 nucleotides) under Bacteroidia bacterium. It matches the Rfam family "transfer-messenger RNA". Rfam says of the family: Bacterial tmRNA, also known as 10Sa RNA or SsrA, is named for its dual tRNA and mRNA-like properties. The record is from RNAcentral. Lineage: Bacteria; Pseudomonadati; Bacteroidota; Bacteroidia.